CAAUAGCGUAUAUUAAAGUUGUUGCAGUUAAAAAGCUCGUAGUUGGAUUUCUGGUGGGAGCGAUGGGUCCGCCUUUCAUUAGGUGCGCACUCGGUUCGCGUCCGGCCUUUUUCGCGGCGAACGUGCCUGGCAUUAGGUUGUCGGGUUCGGGAGCCGCGUCAUUUACUGUGAAAAAAUCAGGACGUUUCAAGUAGGCUUACGCCGUUGAAUGUACUAGCAUGGAAUAAUAAGAUAGGACUUUGGUGGUCUAUUUUGUUGGUUUGCACACCAAGGUAAUGAUUAAUAGGGAUAGUUGGGGGUAUUCGUAUUCAAUUGUCAGAGGUGAAAUUCUUGGAUUUAUGGAAGACGAACUACUGCGAAAGCAUUUACCAAGGAUGUUUNCAUUAA
RNAcentral lists this ribosomal RNA (387 nucleotides) under uncultured eukaryote. RNAcentral describes it as "partial 18S ribosomal RNA". It matches the Rfam family "Eukaryotic small subunit ribosomal RNA", at positions 592 to 976 of the family's 1831-position model. The record is from RNAcentral.